GGCCAGGUAGCUCAGUUGGUAGAGCAAGGGACUGAAAAUCCCUGUGUCGGCGGUUCGAUUCCGUCCCUGGCCACCA
RNAcentral lists this transfer RNA (76 nucleotides) under Rickettsiales bacterium. RNAcentral's name for it is "tRNA-Phe". It matches the Rfam family "tRNA". From Rfam's summary of the family: Transfer RNA (tRNA) molecules are approximately 80 nucleotides in length. Their secondary structure includes four short double-helical elements and three loops (D, anti-codon, and T loops). RNAcentral also lists the same sequence under 1 other name. The record is from RNAcentral. Lineage: Bacteria; Pseudomonadati; Pseudomonadota; Alphaproteobacteria; Rickettsiales.